Molecule: ribosomal RNA, 447 nt
Filed under: uncultured Pseudomonas sp.
Lineage: Bacteria; Pseudomonadati; Pseudomonadota; Gammaproteobacteria; Pseudomonadales; Pseudomonadaceae
Description: bacterial SSU rRNA
Rfam family: Bacterial small subunit ribosomal RNA
Source: RNAcentral
GCCUGCCGCGUGUGUGAAGAAGGUCUUCGGAUUGUAAAGCACUUUAAGUUGGGAAGAANAGGCAGUAAAUUAAUACUUUGCUGUUUUGACGUUACCGACAGAAUAAGCACCGGCUAACUCUGUGCCAGCAGCCGCGGUAAUACANAGGGUGCAAGCGUUAAUCGGAAUUACUGGGCGUAAAGCGCGCGNAGGUGGUUCGUUAAGUUGGAUGUGAAAUCCCCGGGCUCAACCUGGGAACUGCAUUCAAAACUGACNAGCUAGAGUNNGGUAGAGGGUGGUGGAAUUUCCUGUGUAGCGGUGAAAUGCGUAGAUAUACGAAGGAACACCAGUGGCGAAGGCGACCACCUGGACUGAUACUGACACUGAUGNGCGAAAGCGUGGGGAGCAAACAGGAUUAGAUACCCUGGUAGUCCACGCCGUAAACGAUGUCAACUAGCUGUUGGGAGC